AAAAUUCGGCUCUCUCUCUUCUUCUCCAGACUUCUCUCCAUUUGCACCUUAUUGUGAGUGUUUCUUAGAGUGCCUUCUUGUGAGCUUCUUCUUGAGUGUCCCUUGUGAUAAUUUAGGCCUGAAAUAGUGGCUAAGUAUAGAUGAUGUUUCUCAAAGCUUGGUAGAAGAGAGGGGUGCGGUGGUGGCGGUUUCAAAGGAGGUUCUUUGCCGGUUUUCUAGCUCUCUCUUUGGAAGGUGAUUGGCAUGAAAUGGGAGCUGUUCCUGAGCCUGAAAAUCAGCCAUAAACAAGAGAAGUUGCUGUCCAGAUUUUCGACCAUUAAUGGGUUGUAUUUUCGGUUUAUGUUUCUUGCAUUUUUGCCUUGAAAUCUUUGAUUAGAUGAUGUUUAUUGUUGAUUGAACUCCGAGAUCCCAACAAUCUUCUCAUUCUUUGUAGUGUCUAUGGCUUCGCAGAGUGAUGCCAAAAGACUUGCGUCUCUUGGUCGACAGCUAAAACGUCUUGCAUCAUUGGAAGAUUUUCUGGUUGUCUCAGAUUCAAUGAGAUAAUUAGAAUUAAUCUUUUUCAAGGGUAAUCGAGGCCGCCAAGAGGAAAAUCUGAAACUUCAGCUGUGACUAAUUGAUCAUUCAGGGCUAUUACGGAGAAGAGGUCUUGAUUCUUGACUUGAAUAAGAUGUCCUGGAAGAGUAGUUUCCUCGCAGGGACCAGAACGUAAAUUAGUGAGAACAGGAAAUAGGUAAAACCAGAAACAACCGACUUUCACCAAUAAACGCUUCUUUGUAAAGUAAAUAAUAAUAAUAAUAAUGAAGAAAAAGGAAAAAAGAAUGGGGUGAGAGAGUCUCGAACUUGGCUUGGUUAUUUAUUCAUCAAGUUCAAACUUUUAACUUUUGACAUUAGUUAAUUUUAUGAUUGAUUUAGAGUUUGUUAUUAAUAGUUCACUUAAAUGUCUAUAUACCUUGUUCAUGCUAGGUUCU
This 968-nucleotide long non-coding RNA is filed under the name Olea europaea subsp. europaea. Lineage: Eukaryota; Viridiplantae; Streptophyta; Magnoliopsida; Lamiales; Oleaceae. The record is from RNAcentral.